This 198-nucleotide ribosomal RNA is filed under the name uncultured bacterium. RNAcentral's name for it is "partial 16S ribosomal RNA". It matches the Rfam family "Bacterial small subunit ribosomal RNA", at positions 1303 to 1500 of the family's 1533-position model. The record is from RNAcentral.
GGCUGAAAUUCGCCUUCAUGAAGCCGGAAUUGCUAGUAAUGGCAGGUCAGCAUACUGCCGUGAAUACGUUCCCGGGCCUUGUACACACCGCCCGUCACACCAUGGGAGUUGGAAAUACCCGAAGCCUGUGAGCUAACUUUGCGGAGGCAGCAGUCGAAGGUGGGGUUGAUGAUUGGGGUGAAGUCGUAACAAGGUAGC